UGGGGAAUUUUGCACAAUGGGGGAAACCCUGAUGCAGCGACGCCGCGUGAUUUAGAAGGCCUUCGGGUUGUAAAAAUCUUUUCUAUGGGAAGAAAAUGACAGUACCAUAGGAAUAAGGACCGGCUAAUUACGUGCCAGCAGCCGCGGGCAUACGUAAGGUCCGAGCGUUGUCCGGAAUCAUUGGGCGUAAAGGGUACGUAGGCGGGUAAGCAAGUUAGAAGUGAAAUCCUAUAGCUCAACUGUAGUAAGCUUUUAAAACUGCUCAGCUUGAGGUAUGGAAGGGAAGGUGGAAUUCCUAGUGUAGCGGUGAAAUGCGCAGAUAUUAGGAGGAAUACCGGUGGCGAAGGCGACUUUCUGGCCAUAACCUGACGCUGAGGUACGAAAGCGUGGGUAGCAAACAGG
This 402-nucleotide ribosomal RNA is filed under the name bacterium. RNAcentral describes it as "partial 16S ribosomal RNA". It matches the Rfam family "Bacterial small subunit ribosomal RNA", at positions 355 to 776 of the family's 1533-position model. The record is from RNAcentral.